GUCGAACGAUGAACCUCACUUGUGGGGGGAUUAGUGGCGAACGGGCUGAGUAACACGUGAGUAACCUGCCCUUGACUCUGGGAUAAGCCUGGGAAACCGGGUCUAAUACUGGAUACGACCUUCUGGCGCAUGCCAUGUUGGUGGAAAGCUUUUGUGGUUUUGGAUGGACUCGCGGCCUAUCAGCUUGUUGGUGGGGUAAUGGCCUACCAAGGCGACGACGGGUAGCCGGCCUGAGAGGGUGACCGGCCACACUGGGACUGAGACACGGCCCAGACUCCUACGGGAGGCAGCAGUGGGGAAUAUUGCACAAUGGGCGCAAGCCUGAUGCAGCGACGCCGCGUGAGGGAUGAAGGCCUUCGGGUUGUAAACCUCUUUCAGUAGGGAAGAAGCCGGCCUUUCGGGGUUGGUGACGGUACCUGCAGAAGAAGCGCCGGCUAACUACGUGCCAGCAGCCGCGGUAAUACGUAGGGCGCAAGCGUUAUCCGGAAUUAUUGGGCGUAAAGAGCUCGUAGGCGGUUUGUCGCGUCUGCCGUGAAAGUCCGGGGCUUAACCCCGGAUCUGCGGUGGGUACGGGCAGACUAGAGUGCAGUAGGGGAGACUGGAAUUCCUGGUGUAGCGGUGAAAUGCGCAGAUAUCAGGAGGAAC
This 645-nucleotide ribosomal RNA is filed under the name Arthrobacter agilis. RNAcentral's name for it is "bacterial SSU rRNA". It matches the Rfam family "Bacterial small subunit ribosomal RNA", at positions 61 to 707 of the family's 1533-position model. Lineage: Bacteria; Bacillati; Actinomycetota; Actinomycetes; Micrococcales; Micrococcaceae. The record is from RNAcentral.